UACGUAGGGACCAAGCGUUGUUCGGAUUUACUGGGCGUAAAGGGCGCGUAGGCGGCGCGGUAAGUCACUUGUGAAAUCUCUGAGCUUAACUCAGAGUGGCCAAGUGAUACUGCAGUGCUAGAGUGUGGAAGGGGCAAUCGGAAUUCUUGGUGUAGCGGUGAAAUGCGUAGAUAUCAAGAGGAACACCUGAGGUGAAGACGGGUUGCUGGGCCAACACUGACGCUGAGGCGCGAAAGCCAGGGGAGCAAACGGG
Molecule: ribosomal RNA, 253 nt
Filed under: uncultured bacterium
Lineage: Bacteria
Description: partial 16S ribosomal RNA
Rfam family: Bacterial small subunit ribosomal RNA
Source: RNAcentral